Molecule: RNA transcript, 2117 nt
Organism: Papaver somniferum (opium poppy)
Lineage: Eukaryota; Viridiplantae; Streptophyta; Magnoliopsida; Ranunculales; Papaveraceae
Exons: 2
Source: RefSeq, a predicted model, not a curated record
UUGGUUCAGAGUAAGAAAAAGAAAAGCUACAGUAGCUGUUUCGUUUUUAUUCAUAAACAAAAGAACAUACUUUGGUGUUUAUUAAACUUUGUUCAAGUUCAAAGUAGAAGGUGCAAGAGAUGCUCAUCUUCCUUCCGUCCGGCAGAGAUCGUUGGUGGUUAAAGACUAAAGCUACAGCAAGUUUUUUUUCUUCCUUCCCGUCACGGCAGAAAACGGUGGUGAUAGAAGAUAAAGCUUCAAGAGGAAAUUGGUUUGUGGUGUUUGCUGCUCCAGGAGAUUUGGAUUAGCGAGCUAAGGGACUUCCAUCGCCUUCAACCAGAACAAUUCAUGUUCUAAAUCUAAGGUCUCGUCAGUAGGUAUUCCGGACAGUGGGAUCUCACAUAUUACCACUAGUUCACCUUUGAAAAGCCAUGGUUUGAAUUCUUUGAUCUUAUGAAAAUCGGAUUCGUUGUUGCAUUUGAGUAUGAAGACAUUCUUAUACUUCUUGUGUUUGUAUGGGGAUAUCAUCAUUGAUCUUGUUAAUCUCCAGUUUGCUCUCACAAAAUUGAUGUACUCCCACUGCAACACAAUCCUAUUCACACAUAUUCUACUUAGCAUCGUCAAACUCCAAUCGAUUUCAUCCUUUGCUAGGAUUUCCUUCUUUAUAAUCACUACCUCAGAUUCCUCCUCCGGCAUGUUUAGUUGUUCUUCCAUUUGAUUUGCUAGUCUAUCCACUUCCAGCCUCGAAUCACUCAUAUUGAUGAUAACCUUCCACCUUCCUUUUUUAUUUCUCCAGAGAAUACUUAUUUGAAAUGAGGGUAAGGACUCUGAUAUUUUGUUUUUGGGAAGUUUAAAGUUUAUCCAGUGACUGACUUUUCUUUUGUUUUUUUCAAUUGAAUUAUUUUUGCUUUUUGGGUUUUCUGGGAACUUGAUAUUUUAUUGGCUGGCAGAUGGUAUUUGGGAUGUUGGGUUCUGCAUUUGUUGAUAUGACUCUCCACUUUAUUGAAUUUACAAGCACUAUGUGUCUGUACUUGAAUGUAGGGGGCAUGUCCUACUAUGGAUAGAUUGUUUAGGGGGUGUGUGUUGUUGCCUUUGUGACCGUUAUCUCUAAAAGCAUGGUCUGAGAUGGCUAGCUGUUCCAGGAUAUGUUGGUGGAAAGAAAUUUAUGGUUUGGAAAUUUAAUGCAACCACUUUCAUUUUGCACAAUUCCCCUCCUCCUUUUAUACGUUUGUGUAGCUCUGUCGUUCUUCUACCACUUCUUUUAUCUCUCUCUUGAAAGGAAUUUUCAUCUUUGAAACUUUGAUCCACCUUAGAAUUCCUUUUGAGAUGGCUCGGUUCAUUCAUGGAGUACUUGUAACUAAUCAGAUGAGAGUAGAUUUCCUCGUUGAUAGGGAGCAUUUUUAUCUUGAUAAUCCUGCUACAUUGCACGUUCAUCCCCUCGACGUAACCCCUGCACAUGCUGCCUAUUUGAAUGCCCUUCAUGAUGUGCAUCAACUUUAUGGUCGUUUUUUCCGAUGAUGAAGAGAACGAUUAUUAUCCAGAGGUCGAUGAAGCUGAGGUUGUGGUUCCGUCUCCUCCUGAGGUUAUGAAUACUGCAACUCUCGCUCCCGUCGCUUCCGAAUCUUCUUCUGAGGCAAUUGUCCAACUUGGUGAGCAUGAAAAAGACUCCGGCAUUGCUAAUGCUAUAAGCGAUACUGAGGGGCCAUGUCAGGCAAGCCAAUCUUUCUCUGUAGAUCAUACUACUGCCUUUAAUGGCCAUAUUCUCUCUGUGGUAUGUGAAAGGGAGGUUGUUGUUUGUACUCAUGUUGCUAAUGAUGUUGUUUCCGGCGAUGCACGAGCUUUUGAAUCUAAUCCAGAGCAACAGGAAGUUGAUGUAGUAGUGAUUUCUUCUAGUGAAGAUGAAGCUUGAUAUUUCUAGAUGUAUUAUCUCACUUUCUUUGUUAGCUUUUUUGUACCUUCCCGGAACUACUGUUGUUGUUUGAUCUUUUUGCUUUCUUUUUUUUUCCUCUUUUUUCUAUCCUCAUCUCUGAUGUAACACAACUUAAAACAGAUGAGGUUUUCCACCGGAUUAACUCUGAACUUUCAAAAAAGGGUAGGCGAUACUUAUCGCUAAAGAUUCAAAGAUUCAAAACCCCUUA